This 273-nucleotide ribosomal RNA is filed under the name uncultured prokaryote. Its description in RNAcentral is "partial 16S ribosomal RNA". It matches the Rfam family "Bacterial small subunit ribosomal RNA", at positions 524 to 796 of the family's 1533-position model. The record is from RNAcentral.
UACGUAGGGGGCAAGCGUUGUCCGGAAUCAUUGGGCGUAAAGCGCGUGUAGGCGGCCAUCCAAGUCUGGUGUGAAAGCUCGGGGCUCAACCCCGAGUCUGCACUGGAAACUGGAUGGCUUGAGUCCGGAAGAGGAGACUGGAAUUCCUGGUGUAGCGGUGAAAUGCGCAGAUAUCAGGAAGAACACCGGUGGCGAAGGCGGGUCUCUGGGACGGUACUGACGCUGAGACGCGAAAGCGUGGGGAGCAAACAGGAUUAGAAACCCUUGUAGUCC